AGUAUAGAACGCGUAGACAUUUUAUCUUUCGAAUGAAGUGUUUAUCAUACCAUUUCGUUCAGUUGUUUAGGAGCUAUUAACGCUCAAAAUCUCGGUCUCCGGCGUAACGCUUUCGUUUUCGAAACUUUGAUUUUACACCCCGGUAUAGAAAUGAAAGACGUAGUCCUACGUCAAAAACGUUUUGACAGCAGUUAGUGCGGCACUGGGGUUGAAACUGAACAAAAACGAAUUCGCUAUAUGUCACUGAUUUCGGUGUAGUUGUGUAACGAUUCGAAUACUUUUACAUUGUCGGCACAGCAUUGGUCAAUCCAGAGGAACUAGAACCCAAAGUAAAAAGGAUUGUCAUCUAUCACUAGCGAGAAGUUAGCGAGAAGGACAUCAAGGGUGCGUGCUAUUCCCUCGUUGAGUUCAACGGCCGAGUAUUGGCUAGCCUCAAUUAAAAAGUACGAUUGCAUGAAUGGACUGAUGAUCAGGAUUUGCGACUUGAAUGUAGCCAUUUCAAUAAUGUGUUGGCAUUAUAUUGUAAAAUUUGGGGCGGCUCUAUUUUGAUGGGUGAUUUAAUGCGAUAUAUCACGCUGUAGCAUUGGCUAUCCAAAGGAAAGUUGUUUUGAGGAGACCGCUCGCGACUAUAAUCCAAAUUGAAUGACAGCAGUAAAAAUAUUAGAUGACGGUGCCUUUCUCGGGGCGGAUAACAGCAACAAUGUAUUUGUUUGCCUAAAAGAUGGGGGCGCAACAACGGAUGACGAACGACAGCAAAUAGCUUAAUCCCAUCUCAGUGAUAUGAUGAAUAUAUUCCGCCACGGUUCGCUCGUGAUGCACAACAUCGGUGAGCGAACGACGCCGUCAACGGGCUGUGUGCUAUUUGCAGCCGGGUGACGUCUUUAGAGAACCCCCAUUGAACUGACAGGAGCCAACAUAUUGGGUAUCCCACUGACAUUUUCCCUUUGUUUUCAUAUGAAUUGGGUAUCCCACUGACAGUUCUGCUUGAGAUUUUGCUAACGAUCCUAGCAUCAAUCAUAGCACCCGGCUGGCUAUUUGGCAUAAUCAGCGGUGCAAUUGAUCUGGUCACACGAAUACCACCUGAUUAUGAACUAUGAAUUUCUUCGAAAGUUACAAGAAAGUUUGACUGAUAUAAACAAAUCUGUUGGCAGAAUUGAUUAUUCGUAUUAGCUUAGUUUCCACACCGAAAUGAGAACGGAACGUUGCGAGGGAUUUAUUGAUGGAGACCUUGUAGAAAGUUUUCUGGAUUUAAUUCGGGAAUAAAUGUACGAUGCAUUAGGGUUGCGGAUCGACGUGGAUGGAACUAAGAAGGAAGCGGUCGUAGAAACACUUUUUUAAAAAAGUUUAUUAAUGAAUCAACUCAUUAAUCAUGGUGUAUAUUUCCUAGCGUUCGCAUCUUUUUAUCGGACUUGCCAUUAUCGACCCUGCGAAUGAAUGAAUAGUUUCUUUCGCUCGAGCUGAUCCUGCAGUGUGAUGCCUUUCUUGAGCUCCACCUCAAGCGAAUGUAUUAUGACACCACCACCGUGGCUUUCAUCACUGAGCAGACCUGAAAGACCAUUUCCAUCUGCAGAUGACAACAGAGGAACCACAUUAGAAUGACCAGCUGUACCUGUUGCUGCUGUUGGCGCAACUGAAGCUGGUGGUGGUUUCCCACUGAAGCCUGUGUGCAUUGGAGUGGGCGACCAUUUGGGCGAAUAGGUGCCGCCACUAUCGUUCGGAUCUUCCUAGAAUCAAGCAUACCAUCGAAAAAUCGACGUGAGCAAAUCUGUUCCGGGUACCGUCCAACUCCUGGAGGAAUUUUCCGACGAGAAUGCCGACCUCCGUAGGGUAGCGUGCCCAUCGAGACCACUUUUCGAUUUCUCCUCGAGACCUCGAACGCGAAGCUAGGGGUAAGAGUUUCAUAUGAGAAUAGUGGAGCCAGUUUUUAGGCAAUAUACGAGAUGCUAACGCUUGCUGGUGGUGAGGUUAAACAACGGCUUUUCCGAAAAAUAUUUACCAAUUGCAGUCUCAAAAAAUAACAAAGCGAAAAGAAUGAGCAUUCGUUCCUAUAAUUUAUAAACAAUCGUCUCAUACUAAUAUACUUAAUGGGAAAACCUAUCGACAAAUCAAUCGAUGCAAUUUUGCAAAAUAUAAAUCUGACAGUGAGAAUUUGUAUCUAAAAUUCCGCUUGCAUAACAAAUAUGACAAUGAUGAAACGAAGCACGUUAUUAUAAAAGGUAAUAAAAGAAAAAGA
Long non-coding RNA from Toxorhynchites rutilus septentrionalis, 2233 nucleotides. RefSeq lists it as uncharacterized. NCBI's taxonomy places the organism in Eukaryota, Metazoa, Arthropoda, Insecta, Diptera, Culicidae. The record is from RefSeq and is a predicted model, not a curated record. The transcript is spliced from 4 exons.